UUGGAAAACCUCAAAUAAGUAUUAUCCUUUUAUUAUUAUGAUAGAUUAUUUCUAUUGUCAUUAGCAGUAUUAUUAUUGAAUUCUUUUUUAAAUCUAAGAAAUAAAAUAUAAGUUAAAGAGAAGUGUUGUUUGAUAUCUAAACUAAUUUUAAGUAAAAUAUAAGGAGGAAAAAAGGGAAGAUAAAAAAUUGACUCCCUUUUUUUUCUCUCUCUCAGCGUAAGAGCUGCUAUCGUACGUC
Molecule: long non-coding RNA, 238 nt
Filed under: Capsicum annuum
Lineage: Eukaryota; Viridiplantae; Streptophyta; Magnoliopsida; Solanales; Solanaceae
Description: long non-coding RNA (CANN_LNC000672)
Source: RNAcentral